GCCCAGGCCGGGUGCGCGGGCCCGGCGGGUGUGCGUGUGUGUGUAUGGUACGGGGGAAAAGAGCCCCCAAAUCCGCCCCCCGUCCCCCCAGGCAGGCAGACAGGCACAGCUCAGCGGUAGCGGGUUUAUUCUCCUCGGGGCAGAGCGAUUUUCGUGACAGGGGACGGGGCAGGCCCGCAGCAAGGGGCCAAGAUGGAGGGCGGCCGUCCCGGCCUCAGAUGGUGCAGUUGCUCUCUCCGAAGCGCCGGCACUUCAUCACCUUCAGUGACCAGAGCUUGAAGCCAGACCCAAGCCACGUGCAGCUGGAGCCGUUUUUGUUCACUAAACAGGGUGGUAAAAGGGCUAAAGUGUGAUCGUUGUCUGGUUUCUGUGUACUGCUUCCCAUUGCCCAAGCUUAUAUCAAACGGAGAGCGAAACCUGGAAAUGCUACAGACUGCAGUCAGGACAGAAGAUCUCUGUUUACUCUCAGUGCCUGACUUUUGUAGUUAUUUAGGUGCUAGAUGAUGAAAAUCAUUGUCCAGACUGACAUCACAUGGAUACAGGUCUUGGGGAUCUAGCUGUGGUGAUGCUGAGCAAAUCUAGGAUGGGAUCCUGGCAGACAAUAAGUAAUGUCAUUUAAAAUAACAAAGCCCAAAGUAACCUUUCUGAAGAAGAACAUUCUCCAGCUGUCAGUUGUCUGCAUGCUAUGUUAAUUUAAAUGUAAUAUAAGAGAGAAACAUCAGAGUAUAGGCUUCCAUCAGUACACAGACUUAUAUGGGUUGUUUUCAUAAAAUGUCUCGAGUCUUGGAAGUCAGGAUGCAGAACUCUGCAAAAUUUGCUUCGCUUUAAAGUGUUUUAUGGGGAGAUAGGGCAAACAUCAGGUUUAACAGCAGGUUUAACCAAUGGAGUAUUCUUUGGUGCUGGGUUUGUAAAGACUUGAGUCUAGAGUGUUGUGAUCUUCCUGGCCUGUGCUGCUAUGAGUGGUUAUGGCAGUGCUGUUAACGUCUGGUACAAGUUUUCUCAUGCUCCCAGUGAUGAAUUGUGUGCAGUGGAGUGUUGUGGUGUGACUAUGUUAAAGUAAGCAAAGUCCAAAGGAUGCCAAUGGUCUUUGGAGUGGAAAGUGGGGAGACUUCUCAUGGUCUUUGGAUCCUGUAGAAGACCCUGAGAGCUCAGUGCCCUGUGUCUAGGAGAUCUCUGUUACUCCAUAAUCGUGCUACCUGCUGCAACUUACCCUCAUCAGAGCUUGGAUCCCUUCUUCCAGGUCCUUUAGUUUUUCAAACACUCUGUCUGAGGUGCCAAAAACCAGAUUGUUUGUGAACACCUUGCUUAGGUAUUGCACUGGAGUCAACCAGGACUGGAUGAGAACCAGUGAAAACCGAAGAAGCUCCAUAUCCUGAAAUUAAAAGAGGGGGUCAAAGGUGUAAAUAGUAAAAGGGGAGAGGAGUGAUACCUCAGCAAGCACUGAAGUGCUCACAGAUGAAAUGCUCUGUUCCUUAAAAGAGUUCUGCGCUUGCCCAGGGGAGACAACUUACUGAUUUCUGCUGGGCAUCAUCCUUCCCUGUGGGAGCUGGGAUGGUUUCUGAGUAACAGAAUGCCUGGGAAUUCUUGGUGGUGUGUCUCUGGUCCUCCGGAAUAUAGCUGCGUUCCUGUGGAGACAUCCCAAAUACACUCAGAUCUGUUGGCCGUGUACUGGGAGAAGAGCGUUGACUCUUUCCUCAAGCUGUCCUGACAGGUUGCUCUUUUCAAGAAAGAAAUGUGAGACUUGAAGUGUGUUUCUGUACAGGACUGGCAGUGGGUCUUGCCUUCAUGAAUGGAAUAUGAUGCACCUGUCACUGCAUGAGCAAACGGGAUGGGUGAAAAGUGACUGCAUUAUCUGUGUUGUAACUGAAAACUUCUGCUCUCUGGCACACACCUGUAGAAUCCAGUGGUCCCUGACAAGCCUAAAGGUUAUUAACCCCUGGCAUCUAACUCGCGCAAGUGGUCUCUGUAAGUACAGAUGGACACAGAGUUAAUCUCAAACAAGCACCCUUCAGUGGAGGAAUGCCUUGGAGCCUGUAGGACAUGGACAUAGGCAUUAGACAUCAUCCUGAUCCCCAUCUUAAGCCUCGAAUCUCAAGAAUUGAACUGCAGAAGUAAUUUGCAAAGCCCUGCUUUGGGAGAGGAGAUAUCAACCCCUGUUGAAAAACAGCGUGGCAGUUCCCAGGCAGAGACAGAACAAGGUCCCUGGAGUCAGCUGGUUUGUCUGGCACAGGUUUGGUGAAGAGCUGUCACAUGUAGGUCUGUUACUGGGUACCAACCUGCCUGCUGCAAACCCAGGUGCCAGAGCUCUGGGAGGUUUCUCACAUCCUCAGCUGGGCAAAGCUGUGAGAAGAUCUGGUCAUCAGCUGCUUUCUGCUCUUGCCUGAGACAGGAAUGAGAAAUAUCUCUGCAUCGAGCAGAGGGCUGGUGUGGAGAGGAGACGGGGAAGAGGUCACAGCACACACCCUGCUUUUGAGCAAGACAAGACAGAACCUGCGAUGGACAGCUGUGGGGGGGCAGGGGGCGGGGGGUGGUGGUGCUUAAAGGACUUUUCCUUCCCCCUAGGGCACUGGGUGCCCCAAGCCACUGUGUUUGUUCGGGGCCCUGUUUGCUCCCCGGUCAGGGGCAGUGCUCUGGCUCCCCAAGCCCCUGGGUUGGCCUGCCCCCCUGCUUCGGCUCCACUUUCCACAAGGCAGCAUCAUUACUGCAGCAGAGGGUGCGAGAGCUCGUUAAUAAACACACUGGGGAGAGCGUGAUCUGUUCCGAGAAGCCCCUGGGUGUUCACUCGCAUGGUGGUGUCACGGAGUAAAUGUCAGUCCCUAGAGAAAAGGGAACAGUGGGUCCUGCAGCUAUCAGGUAUCUGGUCACCCAAUAGCCAGCAACAUCUGGGUGUGUUUUUCUACUUCAGAUUGUGUUUAAAUAUGUCAAUAUUCGUCAGAGAUGAGCAGAGCAGCAGCCCUGCCAGCCAGCACAGGCUCUGCUGCCUGCUCGCGAUGAUGCUCUACCACUGCAGCUAGAUUAAUACGGCACCUUGCACCAGACUGCUGCCCAUCACUUGCUACCCUGCUGCCCCUCCAGCUCUGUUCGCGAAAGCACGGUGCUAAACCAGCAAUUUUCACCUUAGAGCCAAGCACAGAGAUGCCAGCAUGUUCCAGGCUGUGCCCCUGAGAUCUGUUUUUUCCCCACUCACAUAAUUUCCGUGCAUUAAAUGAGGCAGAAGCUUUGUGGAAAUGGCAGUGCGUGGCUGGGAUCCUGGGCUGGGCAAACACACGCCACUGGCACAAUUACAGUUGCAUAAGCAGCUUGCAAAUAUCAGCUUGGCAUUUUUCUAGCUUCCAAGUGCCCACAUGUGUGACCCAAAGUAGAACAUCAUAAAGCAGCAUGAGGCUCAGUAAUUUCCAAGUUCCUUUUCUUGUUUGGAAGAGAAAAAACCCUGCAUUCUUUUCAGGGUGGUCCCACGUCCACCCGCCUUGCCCUGUGGACAAAUGAAGCAACUUUCCAUGGAGGUGUGUGUACGCCCUGGCUCCUCCUGGCCCCUCAGGAGGGGUUUUGUGCAGAAGUUCCCAGCUGGGGACCUGCAAACGGUGAAUCCUGACUGAGGAGCCAGAUGCUGGCCCACAGCCCAGGCUCUGUAGCUCCGUCAGUAACGAGAUCGAUGACAGAGGCUUUAAGUGAUGGUUGACUGCCUUUGCUAGCUCACUGCCCUGAAGGUAAAUAGUUCUUUUCAGUUUGAAUUGUGUGUGUGUGUGUAUUUUCUGGAGCCAGGACUGCUCAAUUUCACCCAGCCUAUUUCUAAAUGGCAGAUACCAUGAGGCUGAAGGAGGUCCAGGACUGCAGCCCAGUGGGACUUAAAAACAACUGUCUGCCCAGUCAUACUUCAAUGGUGGGGAUAAGAAUCAGGAUACAGAGCCUGGACUGUAUAUAUUGAAAUGUAUUUAAUUACACUGAGUGCAUUUUAAAUACAAGCCUAUUUCAAUAUAAAAUUAAAACCCAUCUCUGUACUCCCCAGAAACUAAUCUAAGCAAUUAAAGUAAAACCCUAGCAGUACAGAAAUACUUAUUUGCUUCUGGCGUUUUAAAGGAAGCUAAGGCCCUGGGCUAAGAGAGUAGCCAAGCGGCAGAGCGGAACUGGGGUCGCCGAAACUGCUUUUGACAUUGCUUCCUCUCCAGAUGCAAACAGCAAAUUCUCCGUCUUUCGUGUGAUUCGGUUAAGUCAGUUGAGUGAGUUGUUUACACAGAGCUGAGAAACCAGUUGGGAAUUGGGAAGGCCGGAAAAUUUGCCUUCCUCUCCCAUUUUGUAACUGAAAACAAGGCACGGAGGGAUGAGCCUUGCUAGUCCUAAAAUCCUGGCAAACAUGGAAACCAGGAAUUCACUUCCUUCACUGUGAGUACUCCUUCAGU
Molecule: long non-coding RNA, 4397 nt
Organism: Cygnus atratus (black swan)
Lineage: Eukaryota; Metazoa; Chordata; Aves; Anseriformes; Anatidae
Exons: 6
Source: RefSeq, a predicted model, not a curated record